This 483-nucleotide ribosomal RNA is filed under the name uncultured bacterium. RNAcentral describes it as "bacterial SSU rRNA". It matches the Rfam family "Bacterial small subunit ribosomal RNA", at positions 29 to 534 of the family's 1533-position model. The record is from RNAcentral.
AGCGAACGCUAGCGGCGGGCCUAACACAUGCAAGUCGAGCGGGGAGCAAUCCCAGCGGCGAACGGGUGAGUAACACGUGGGUAAUGUGCCUUCUGGUGGGGAAUAACCUUGGGAAACCAGGGCUAAUACCGCAUAUCGUGCUUCGGCAUGAAAGCCUUCGGGCGCCAGUAGAGCAGCCUGCGUCCCAUUAUUUAGUCCUAGUUGGUAGGGUAAUGGCCUACCAAGGGUACGAUGGGUAGCUGGUCUGAGAGGAUGAUCAGCCACACUGGAACUGAGACACGGUCCAGACUCCUACGGGAGGCAGCAGUGGGGAAUAUUGCGCAAUGGGGGAAACCCUGACGCAGCCACGCCGCGUGAGUGAUGGAGGCCUUCGGUUGUAAAGCGUCUGUCGGGUAGGGACGAAGGGAGCAAUCUCUGACGGUAACCUCGCGAAGAAAGCACCGGCUAACUCUAGUGCCGAGCAGCCGCGGUAAAGUAGUCGUG